GGGCUGUUAGUUUAGUGGAUAAAAUGGGGCGCUUCGGACGCCUUGCCCCGGGUUCGAAUCCUGGACGGCCCA
This 72-nucleotide transfer RNA is filed under the name uncultured Poseidoniia archaeon. Its description in RNAcentral is "uncultured Candidatus Thalassoarchaea euryarchaeote tRNA-Arg". It matches the Rfam family "tRNA". Rfam says of the family: Transfer RNA (tRNA) molecules are approximately 80 nucleotides in length. Their secondary structure includes four short double-helical elements and three loops (D, anti-codon, and T loops). Lineage: Archaea; Methanobacteriati; Thermoplasmatota; Candidatus Poseidoniia. The record is from RNAcentral.